GGAUAAUCUGGCUGUGAUAUCUGUCACCCUAUUGCUCACCACAGUUGAUUUGACUGAUCUGGCUGGCUAAGAGAACGUUCUCUUCCUCUUAUAUCAUCCCCCCCCCCCAUUCAUCCUGAAACUGUGUGCUUAGUGAAAGAGGACCACCAUUUCAGAGAGAAAGACUGCAUUGAUCUUUAGACAAGAGUAUACAACUAGGGUUUGAUUUCUAAUAUCUCCAUGCAUAUACAUAACAAUAUGGAAAAGAUUUAUCAUAGUCUUU
This 262-nucleotide small nuclear RNA is filed under the name Notechis scutatus (mainland tiger snake). RNAcentral's name for it is "7SK RNA (ENSNSUG00000004650.1)". It matches the Rfam family "7SK RNA". From Rfam's summary of the family: 7SK was discovered as an abundant small nuclear RNA in the mid-70s but a possible function has only recently been suggested. Two independent studies have found that 7SK RNA binds the CDK9/cyclin T complex (known as elongation factor P-TEFb). The record is from Rfam by way of RNAcentral. Lineage: Eukaryota; Metazoa; Chordata; Lepidosauria; Squamata; Elapidae.